AGAGUUUGAUGGUGGCUCAGGAUGAACGCUGGCGGCGUGCCUAAUACAUGCAAGUCGAGCGAGAUGUUAGCGCAUGAACCUUCGGGGGAUUAUGCUAACGGACAGCGGCGGACGGGUGAGUAACGCGUAGGCAACCUGCCCCUGACAGAGGGAUAGCCAUUGGAAACGAUGAUUAAAACCUCAUGACACCGUAGAAGCACAUGCUUCAUCGGUCAAAGAUUUAUCGGUCAGGGAUGGGCCUGCGUCUGAUUAACUAGUUGGUGAGGUAACGGCUCACCAAGGUGACGAUCAGUAGCCGACCUGAGAGGGUGAUCGGCCACAUUGGAACUGAGACACGGUCCAAACUUCUACGGAAGGCAGCAGUAGGGAAUCUUGCACAAUGGGCGAAAGCCUGAUGCAGCAACGCCGCGUGAAGGAUGAAGGCCUUCGGGUUGUAAACUUCUGUUCUAAGGGAAGAAACAAAUGACGGUACCUUAGGAGCAAGCCCCGGCUAACUACGUGCCAGCAGCCGCGGUAAUACGUAGGGGGCAAGCGUUAUCCGGAAUUAUUGGGCGUAAAGAGUGCGUAGGUGGUUACCUAAGCGCAAGGUUUAAUUUAGAGGCUCAACCUCUACUUGCCUUGCGAACUGGGCUACUUGAGUGCAGGAGGGGAAAGCGGAAUUCCUAGUGUAGCGGUGAAAUGCGUAGAUAUUAGGAGGAACACCAGCGGCGAAGGCGGCUUUCUGGACUGUAACUGACACUGAGGCACGAAAGCGUGGGUAGCAAACAGGAUUAGAUACCCUGGUAGUCCACGCCGUAAACGAUGAGCACUAGGUGUUGGCCCGUUAGGGCUCAGUGCCGCAGUUAACGCAAUAAGUG
Molecule: ribosomal RNA, 857 nt
Filed under: uncultured bacterium
Lineage: Bacteria
Description: bacterial SSU rRNA
Rfam family: Bacterial small subunit ribosomal RNA
Source: RNAcentral